RNAcentral lists this ribosomal RNA (316 nucleotides) under uncultured Pseudomonadota bacterium. RNAcentral describes it as "bacterial SSU rRNA". It matches the Rfam family "Bacterial small subunit ribosomal RNA", at positions 30 to 351 of the family's 1533-position model. Lineage: Bacteria; Pseudomonadati; Pseudomonadota. The record is from RNAcentral.
AUUGAACGCUGGCGGCAUGCUUUACACAUGCAAGUCGAACGGGGUGGGGGCAACCCUCAUUCAGUGGCGAACGGGUGAGUAAUGCAUCGGAACGUAUCCCGUAGUGGGGACAACGCCGCGAAAGCGGCGCUAAUACCGCAUAUGCUCUACGGAGGAAAGUGGGGGACCUGAAAGGGCCUCACGCUAUGGGAGCGGCCGAUGUCCGAUUAGCUAGUUGGUGGGGUAAUGGCCCACCAAGGCGACGAUCGGUAGCUGGUCUGAGAGGCCGAACAGCCACACUGGGACUGAGACACGGCCCAGACACCUACGGGAGCAG